Nylanderia fulva is the source of this 1984-nucleotide non-coding RNA. NCBI's taxonomy places the organism in Eukaryota, Metazoa, Arthropoda, Insecta, Hymenoptera, Formicidae. The record is from RefSeq and is a predicted model, not a curated record.
UGCGCGUCGUCGUUUAAUUCGUUUCCGUUUAAGAUACUUUCGACGCGCGCUGCCAAAACCGGAUUUUAGGAUGGUACCACUCACCUGUAGCGUGACCUUGAAAGGUUCUUGAAGUCGUUCCCGCUCCAGCAGAACACGAAGACAAUCCUGGACAUUUAAGGAUGUUCAUCGCCGGGAUCGAUCCAAAGUUGGUAGCCCUACGCGACAGCCCUAGUCCCUGCAGCAGAGAGAUAUUGGGGCCCUAUACUAUUCUGCCGUACAUCGUCACUUGCCUGUAUAUAUGUCGGCGAUCUUCGCCUCGCGUUUCACAACUAUCCUGAAGAAGAUCCACAAAGUCGGGGUGCCUCUCGCACGCGCGUCCCGCACACGUCAUGUACAUACGAUCGCACGAACACGAUAUGCACACCUGUAACUCGCGGUCUCGUCUGACAGCUGCGGGAGUCUAACAACUUUUCCACGCAGGGGCCGUAAGGCCGCUCCGUUCUGUCGAGCGACGCUCGUCGAUCUGAAUGGCGGGAACGGAACGGAAUGGAACGGGGACCAACGGGCCCCAACUCGACUCGAAAGGCAAAAUCGGUCUUCUCCGGGGCCCCUCGGCUCGGUUCGCUGAUGAGUACUUAUCAAAAAUUAUUUUGACAUAUCAAAUAUAUGCUGAAAUAAUUUCACGAGAUAAUGGAAGAAUACUGAGUGUGAGCAAAAAAAACGAGAAAAAGAAAGGGAAUAGAGAUUGGAGUCACGAGACUUUUAUGUUCAGUUCUAUGGCGGCCUCUCACGCUUGUGUUCCGAAGGUCCCUGACAUAUCCAGAUCUUCUGCCCUUUCUCUCCUAAGCUCUUCUCCUACCUUCGCUCUCUGUCCGAUCGCCACACCUUCCUGAAGAUCGAUUCGAGAUCGACCGCGACGGUAACACUUUCCACGCUCGCAAAGAGAAAGAGAGAGGCGCCUCUAACAGCAACUUCUAAGCAACGCUGUCAAAUAGAUUCCGUCCUGAAUUCUCCGUCUUGAUUCUCCUUCAUCUCUCUUCGAAGAAGAGAGAGGAACGCGGGUCUUUCCUCUCUGCUCCCCUUCUUUUCUCCUUUCUCUCUAUCUUAUGCUUCAACGACGUCUCUCUCAAUUUAUCUACCUGCUUGCGUCUAUCUACCUUGCUCGGGUUUCAUCCUCUACCUUUCUUUGAACCUUCGCUGCAUCAAUAGUAACCCAAGUCAAUAAAGAAGGAAAGAGAAGACGGGGACCAAUCUUAAUCUCUUGAUUUCUUCUUCUUCGAGGUGUGAAAUUUUGUCAGCCGGUUUUUUCUUCUUUCGAUGCAUCUCGCUUGCAUCCAAAAGUUUCACAAAAACAUCGCUCGAGAAGUUUCUCCCCUUCUCUGCAUUCAAUAUACUAUGUGAAUAUUAUAUACCGGAACACCUGAAUAUCUCGAAAACAAAGCGUUGUAUAAAAAAAUGUUAAAUACAAAAGUUGUAGGGUUUAAAAAGAUCUAUUUUAUGAUAUUAACAGUUUGACCUGAAGUUGCGUCAUAAAGAUCAGGUCAAGGUCACAAUGAUUUUUUUUAAUGGAUAUCCCCAUUUUUUAUUGUAUAUUCUUAUAGCUUAUCUCGAGAGCUUUCCAAAACACUAUACUUAAGUAUUUUUUCGUUAAGUACUUUUCGAGUUAAGAGGCUUCAAAGUUACGCUCUUUAGCAUUAGCGCGCGUGGAUACCGUAGUGACGAGCACGAACGCGCGUAAGGCUGAUGGCCUAAACAAACGUAAACGCAAGGGCAGCUCUCGUUUACCGCGCUUGUGUUUACGUUUUUCUCUGCCUUAGCUUACGUCUACGCCACGACAAUUACGUCGCGUUCUCUGCCAUCAGCCUAACAAACAAGAAUUCAAGAAUCGCGCGCGUUUAGGCAGAGAUUCACUCUGGUUUAGAUACGUCGUAAAUGGUUUACCCAAGUUGGCUCUAUUUUUUCUAAUCUACGUUGAAAAUUAAAGUUAUUACUAUCCUAUUAA